GACGAACGCUGGCGGCGUGCCUAAUACAUGCAAGUAGAACGCACAGUUUAUACCGUAGCUUGCUACACCAUAAACUGUGAGUUGCGAACGGGUGGGUAACGCGUAGGUAACCUGCCUGGUAGCGGGGGAUAACUAUUGGAAACGAUAGCUAAUACCGCAUAAUAUUAAAUAUUGCAUGAUAAUUGAUUGAAAGAUGCAAUUGCAUCACUACCAGAUGGACCUGCGUUGUAUUAGCUAGUAGGUGAGGUAACGGCUCACCUAGGCGACGAUACAUAGCCGACCUGAGAGGGUGAUCGGCCACACUGGGACUGAGACACGGCCCAGACUCCUACGGGAGGCAGCAGUAGGGAAUCUUCGGCAAUGGACGAAAGUCUGACCGAGCAACGCCGCGUGAGUGAAGAAGGUUUUCGGAUCGUAAAGCUCUGUUGUAAGAGAAGAACGGGUGUGAGAGUGGAAAGUUCACACUGUGACGGUAUCUUACCAGAAAGGGACGGCUAACUACGUG
RNAcentral lists this ribosomal RNA (505 nucleotides) under uncultured bacterium. RNAcentral's name for it is "partial 16S ribosomal RNA". It matches the Rfam family "Bacterial small subunit ribosomal RNA", at positions 28 to 507 of the family's 1533-position model. The record is from RNAcentral.